Molecule: ribosomal RNA, 301 nt
Filed under: uncultured bacterium
Lineage: Bacteria
Description: partial 16S ribosomal RNA
Rfam family: Bacterial small subunit ribosomal RNA
Source: RNAcentral
CAGUCCCGCGGGAAAACGAAGGGUGCAAGCGUUACUCGGAAUUACUGGGCGUAAAGCGCGCGUAGGCGGUUCGUUAAGUCUGUUGUGAAAGCCCCGGGCUCAGCCUGGGAAUGGCAAUGGAUACUGGCGAGCUAGAGUGUGUCAGAGGAUGGUGGAAUUCCCGGUGUAGCGGUGAAAUUCGUAGAUAUUCGGAAGAACACCAGUGGCGAAGGCGGCUUACUGGCUCAUUCUAGACGCUGAGGUGCGAAAGUGUGGGGAGCAAACAGGAUUAGAUACCCCCGUAGUCCCUGUCUCUUAUACA